This is a long non-coding RNA of Dreissena polymorpha, 2743 nucleotides long. RefSeq lists it as uncharacterized. The transcript is spliced from 3 exons. Lineage: Eukaryota; Metazoa; Mollusca; Bivalvia; Myida; Dreissenidae. The record is from RefSeq and is a predicted model, not a curated record.
GGUUUAUAAACAAUGCAUCUCAUUUCUGUGAUCGAAAAUAUAAAAAAAAGAGAAAAAAAGCCGAAGCCAGCGACAUCGCUCGAAUUUAUUCAAUCUUGGCGACAAGACUGAGUGUUUGCAGAACCAUAGGAGUAUCGUUGGAAAGAGACGAAGGCAGGGUAAUGGCUUAAACACACGAAUUGUAUUUAGGAAGACGUGCCGGCCAAACUAUUGCAAGUUUGACUGUUCAGCAUAAUGUUAGAACAACAAACUCUUCACCUAUGCACGGUCAUCAGCCCCCGCCAGGUCCUGGCCUGUCAUUUGUGUCACAAGGAAGUACCACACCUGGUCAUGUGUCAGGAAUUGGAGAGAUAACAUCUUACUAAGAAGUAAAUUGAAGGCAGCCAACAAUUGGACGGUGGUGCCAGUCAAUGAAAAGAAGGGAUACACGUACAUGCACUGAGUACACAGAGAUCAUCAAGGAAAAAACCCUUCGAUCAAAGUUCCUUUUUGAUUCAGCUUAUCCAAAGCUGAUUGCCUCUACAAUUGCCCCUUAUAUAUCCACCUGCGGCUAAUGAGGAGCUGCAAUAUCCAAUAGGUCAAGGGCAAGCAACCCGGAAACAAUAUGAAGAUUUACUCAUACAAAUUGGUACAUGGUGUAUGUAACUAUGUUGUUUUAACUAACUUCAACAUACCAUCAUUAUGAAUUAAAAAAUUGACAAAGCUGAAAUCAAUGAUAACUGACUAUGGGUAGGAACAUGUUGUGUGAAUUUGGCAGCAUGGUUUUAUAGGAUGUAUACCAUUGAGUAUGAAAGUGCAUGUGUGACCCUGGUUGUUUUUUCAGUCAGUAGAUGACUUUAGUAUUUGAAAUUAUGCUUGAAUUUAUUUGUGUAAUAUGAAGGCGUGACCAAAUGUGUGACAUUAUUGUCGACUGUGCUGUCAUCAUCAUGGUGAUAAAAUGUGAUUUUAAUAAGUGAACUGCUUAUAAACAUAGGGCAGAAAUACCAUUGAUAAAAUACUGACGAACAUAGCAUACAAGUGCCCUGAAAUGCCAUGAGAAUAUGUAUUUGAGUUUUAAGUGUGUAAGGUAUUGUGAAUUUUGUUAAUUGUUUUGUUAUAAAACAAGGGCUGUUUGUAAAACAUGCAUGCCCCCCAUAUGGGCUCUCAGUUGUACUGACAGCCAUUUUGUAAAUAUGUUUUUGUCACUGUGACCUUGACCUUUGACCUAGUGACCUGAAAAUCAAUAGGGGUCAUCUGCGAGUCAUGAUCAAUGUACCUAUGAAGUUUCAUGAUCCUAGCCAUAAGCUUUCUUGAGUUAUCAUCAGGAAACCAUUUUACUAUUUCGGGUCACUGACCUGGACCUUUGACCUAGUGACCUGAAAAUCAAUAGGGGUUAUCUGCCAGUCGUGAUCAAUGUACCUAUCAAGUUUCAUGAUCCUAGGCAUAAGCGUUAUUGAGUUAUUAUCCGGAAACCAUUUUACUAUUUCGGGUCACAGUGACCUUGACCUUUGAUCUAGUGACCUCAAAAUCAAUAGGGGUCAUCUGCGAGUUAUGAUCAAUGUACCUAUCAAGUUUCAUGAUCCUAGGCAUAAGCGUUCUUGAGUUAUCAUCCGGAAACCAUUUUACUAUUUCGGGUCACCGUGACCUUGACCUUUGACCUAGUGACCUGAAAAUUAAUAGAGGUCAUCUGCUAGUCAUGAUCAAUCUACCUAUUAAGUUUCAUGAUCCUAGGCAUAAGCGUUCUUGAGUUAUCAUCCAAAAAACAUUUUACUAUUUCGGGUCACCGUGACCUUUGACCUAGUGACCUCAAAAUCAAUAGGGGUCAUCUGCGAGUCAUGAUCAAUGUACCUAUGAAGUUACAUGAUCCUAGGCCCAAGCGUUCUUGAGUUAUUGUCUGACAACCACCUGGUGGACGGACCGACCGACAGACCGACCGACAUGAGCAAAGCAAUAUACUCCCUCUUCUUCGAAGGGGGGCAUAAAUAUAGGAUCCAAAGUAUUCAAUCAUAGAUCACUCUGAAAAAGAAGAAUAAGUAAAAACCUUGUCUGGCAAAUAACUACAUAAACAAUGGGCCAAGUUCCAGAUUUUUUUGUCACAAGUCAAGACCAUUAACAGGAAUUGUUGACUCUUAUAGGUGUUAUGUAUCAUGAUCUGUGUUAAGUUUUUUAUGGGAGACCCAUGAUCAAACAUGGUGAAUUAAUUGUUUUGUUAUUACAAUAGAGGAUCCAAAGUAUUUGAUCAUAGGUCACUCUGAAACAGAAGAAUUUGUGAAAACCUUGUGUGGCAAAUAGCUAAAUAAACACUGGGCUCAGCAUUUUCCUGAUUUUUUGUCACAAGUAAAGACUAUGAAAAGAAAUUACUAUUAACUCUUUUAGGUAUAAGCUACCAUAGUCAAUGUUGAGUGCAUGCUGCACACCACAUUUGUUUAUGUUCCAUUAACAAUGACAUCAAAGCACAAUGCUAUAUAUAGAUUAUGUAUUGUUUUCCAUUGUUUAUCAGUCUAUAAACAACCAUUUAUUGUAAUAGCCUUACAUAAACUGUCAUAAAGAUGAUAAAGUGCUGUUUAUCCAUUCCCAUAAAAAAUUGGUGGAAUUCAGAAAUAAUUUGAUCUGUCAAAUGUUAAAAGUUGGAAAGAUUUAUUCAAAAUGUUAUCAAUUAUAGUUUUGUUUCAUGAAUAUAGAGUAUUAUGUUUUGUGUUCAUUAUGUUAUGGAUUUUGUUGUUUUGGUUUAAAAUGUUUUAAUAAAUAACAUGAAGAAAUAAGA